UCUGGUGUAUCAGUUGUACCGCCAGGUGCACCGCUGAGUAGCUACGUUUGGAAGAGAUAAGCACUGAAAGCAUAUAAGUGCGAAACUCGCCUCAAGAUGAGACAUCUUUUAAGGGUCGUUGUAGAUGACGACGUUGAUAGGCUAUAGGUGUAAAGGCAGUAAUGUCAUAGCCAAGUAGUACUAAUUACCCGUAGAUUUAUAGCC
Molecule: ribosomal RNA, 204 nt
Filed under: Flavobacteriaceae bacterium
Lineage: Bacteria; Pseudomonadati; Bacteroidota; Flavobacteriia; Flavobacteriales; Flavobacteriaceae
Description: partial 23S ribosomal RNA
Rfam family: Bacterial large subunit ribosomal RNA
Source: RNAcentral